This 515-nucleotide ribosomal RNA is filed under the name uncultured bacterium. Its description in RNAcentral is "partial 16S ribosomal RNA". It matches the Rfam family "Bacterial small subunit ribosomal RNA", at positions 28 to 523 of the family's 1533-position model. The record is from RNAcentral.
GUCGAACGCUGGCGGCGUGCCUAAUACAUGCAAGUCGAGCGGACUUUCAAGAAGCUUGCUUUUUGAAAGUUAGCGGCGGACGGGUGAGUAACACGUGGGCAACCUGCCUGUAAGACGGGGAUAACUCCGGGAAACCGGGGCUAAUACCGAAUAAUAUCUUUCUUCGCAUGAAGGAAGGUUGAAAGGCGGCGCAAGCUGCCGCUUGCAGAUGGGCCCGCGGCGCAUUAGCUAGUUGGUGAGGUAACGGCUCACCAAGGCGACGAUGCGUAGCCGACCUGGGAGGGUGAUCGGCCACACUGGGACUGGGACACGGCCCAGACUCCUACGGGAGGCAGCAGUAGGGAAUCUUCCGCAAUGGACGAAAGUCUGACGGAGUAACGCCGCGUGAGCGAAGAAGGUCUUCGGAUCGUAAAGCUCUGUUGUCAGGGAAGAACAAGUACCGUUCGAAUAGGGCGGUACCUUGACGGUACCUGACCAGAAAGCCACGGCUAACUACGUGCCAGCCGCCGCCGUAA